GCGAACGGGUGAGUAACACGUGAGUAACCUGCCCCUUACUCUGGGAUAAGCGCUGGAAACGGCGUCUAAUACUGGAUAUUACCUUUCAUCGCAUGGUGUUUGGUGGAAAGAUUUUUCGGUUUGGGAUGGACUCGCGGCCUAUCAGCUUGAUGGUGAGGUAGUGGCUCACCAUGGCGACGACGGGUAGCCGGCCUGAGAGGGUGACCGGCCACACUGGGACUGAGACACGGCCCAGACUCCUACGGGAGGCAGCAGUGGGGAAUAUUGCACAAUGGGCGCAAGCCUGAUGCAGCAACGCCGCGUGAGGGAUGACGGCCUUCGGGUUGUAAACCUCUUUUAGUAGGGAAGAAGCGUAAGUGACGGUACCUACAGAAAAAGCACCGGCUAACUACGUGCCAGCAGCCGCGGUAAUACGUAGGGUGCAAGCGUUGUCCGGAAUUAUUGGGCGUAAAGAGCUCGUAGGCGGUUUGUCGCGUCUGCUGUGAAAUCCUAAGGCUCAACCU
RNAcentral lists this ribosomal RNA (503 nucleotides) under Canibacter oris. RNAcentral's name for it is "bacterial SSU rRNA". It matches the Rfam family "Bacterial small subunit ribosomal RNA", at positions 98 to 615 of the family's 1533-position model. Lineage: Bacteria; Bacillati; Actinomycetota; Actinomycetes; Micrococcales; Microbacteriaceae. The record is from RNAcentral.